AUGUGGAAGACCGGCAUCCGAUGGCAAGAUGUUGAUGUGGCGCUAAGCAUGGCUGAUUCAUGGAGAUAUGCCACAAUUGCUACCGGAGGCCAUGAUGGAUUUGUGGUGGGAUGGCACAACCAAGAAGAGUUGUAUCAGUACGUAUCAAGCAUUGUUGCUUUGUCGUUCAGUAAGGAUGGGCAUCUGCUUGCUGUUCCAUUUCGAAGAGGGGGUAAAACUGUCAUCCCAUCGAAGAGUCACCAGCAGAGAUGGGACAGAUCCUCUGCCCUAGAAUCCAACACCCUAGGUCUAUCUGAAACCCAUCAACAACAACCUAAGCUGUUGAGAAAGGAGACCAGGAGGAAACAUAGGCAUGGAACCACCCACGGAGGACACACAUUAUGA
RNAcentral lists this ribosomal RNA (384 nucleotides) under Triticum aestivum (bread wheat). RNAcentral's name for it is "partial small subunit ribosomal RNA". The record is from RNAcentral. Lineage: Eukaryota; Viridiplantae; Streptophyta; Magnoliopsida; Poales; Poaceae.